GAGCUUGUGUCUAUGAGGGAUCGCUGCAUGCGGUAUGAGGGCAUUGUAGAGCGCUUUGCAGGACCCAGCAUGUUCAGCAACAGCAGCACACAUUGUUUCCCUGACAUACUGACCGUGGCUCUGACUGAUGAUACUCCUGCCACAUCUCCUUACAUGUGUGUCAUCUCACGCAACUCAAAUAUUGUCUGUAAAAUCCAAAUGUCUUCACAUUAUAAACAUCUGAGUAUAGCUUAGAGAAAAGAGAAAACUUAUCACCUUUGUUGGUAUUUCCCUGGUGUCACAUUCUGCAUUUUAACUACCCUGAAGACGAUCUCCUCUACUGGAGUCUGUAUUAUUGUGACUGAUCCAGUCUCACACGAGUUUUAUUCUCAACCUUUAAGUUAUUUAUUUGUGUUUCCACGCUUUUGUUUUUGUUCCUAAACACAAAUUUCCCAAUAUUAUUUUGUGUCCUUGAACACAACAUUUCAUCUGCCUGCUCUCAUGAGUGCUGAUGUGUCCAUGUAUACAACAAACAUAUAUUUUCCUUGUUGAGAGGUUGAAAGUGUGAUGAUCGAGCUAAUCGUUUUGCUUUUCACACCAAGUUUGAGUUAUGUACACCUCAUUUGUUACCAUUGUUUUUUUGUUUGUUUUUUUCAAAUUAAAAAUAUUAACAGUGACUUAGUUGGGUUUAGAAAAUGUAACGGUUUAAGUUAAAACGUAACCUUUGGCACAUCUUUUAAAACUUUGUCUUCUUGACUGCCAAGGUGACGCGUCUGACAAUUCGUGUCCUUGAACACAAUAAAAUAUAUUGUAUUGUCAUAACUGUUACUCAAACUGAGGGUAAACUGGGCUGUUUGAGUGGGUUCCUUGCUAUCCCUUAAAGUUGUUCUGUAUCACAUUAGAAACUUUGAAAUUCUAAAUACUAAAAAGCACAAAGGGAAAAACAACAGUUUUGUACUGUAAAAAAGCUUUCCUCCAAUCCCCCUGUAUUUACAAAGAUCGGCAUGUUACUUCAAGGCAUUUUGAAUAUCUACACCAGUUUACGACAGGUACGUUUUGAACUUUCCUUAAGAAAAAAUGUAAAUCAUCACCCGGACAAGCGUUCUUCAUAAACAAACACAGCUAGUAUCAAAUGUCUGCUUUUUUGGCAUCUGUUAGGUAAUUUUCUG
RNAcentral lists this long non-coding RNA (1148 nucleotides) under Oreochromis niloticus (Nile tilapia). Its description in RNAcentral is "lncRNA (ENSONIG00000014013.2)". The record is from RNAcentral. Lineage: Eukaryota; Metazoa; Chordata; Actinopteri; Cichliformes; Cichlidae.